AACGGCGGCCGUAACUAUAACGGUCCUAAGGUAGCGAAAUUCCUUGUCGGGUAAGUUCCGACCUGCACGAAUGGCGUAACGACUUCCCCACUGUCUCCAGGGUAGACUCAGUGAAAUUGAAUUCGAGGUUAAGAUGCCUCGUACCCGCGGUUAGACGGAAAGACCCUAUGAACCUUUACUAUAGCUUCGCAGUGGCAAUAUGACUGAUAUGUGUAGCAUAGGUGGGAGGCUUUGAAACCGAGACGCCAGUCUUGGUGGAGCCGUUAGUGAAAUACCACCCUUGUUUUUUGUGUUGUCUAACCACGAUCCGUUAUCCGGAUCUGGGACCCUGCGUGGUGGGUAGUUUGACUGGGGCGGUCGCCUCCCAAACAGUAACGGAGGCGCGCGAUGGUAUGCUCAGGACGGUCGGAAAUCGUCCAUCGAGUGCAAUGGCAAAAGCAUGCCUUACUGUGAGACUGACAGGUCGAGCAGUUGCGAAAGCAGGUCAUAGUGAUCCGGUGGUUCCGCAUGGAAGGGCCAUCGCUCAACGGAUAAAAGGUACUCUAGGGAUAACAGGCUGAUAGCGCCCAAGCGCUCACAGCGACGGCGCUGUUUGGCACCUCGAUGUCGGCUCAUCUCAUCCUGGGGCUGUAGCAGGUCCCAAGGGUAUGGCUGUUCGCCAUUUAAAGAGGUACGUGAGCUGGGUUCAGAACGUCGUGAGACAGUUCGGUCCCUAUCUGCCGUGGGAGUUGGAGUCUUGAGAAGAGCUGCCCUUAGUACGAGAGGACCGGGGUGGACGAACCUCUGGUGUAUCUGUUGUCGCGCCAGCGGCACCGCAGAGUAGCUAUGUUCGGACAGGAUAACCGCUGAAAGCAUCUAAGCGGGAAGCCCCCUUCAAUACUAGGACUCCCUAUCAGAGCCGUGGAAGACCACCACGUUGAUAGGCUGGAUGUGGAAGUGUGGUAACACAUGAAGCUAACCAGUACUAAUUGCUCGAUUGGCUUGAAUUC
This 989-nucleotide ribosomal RNA is filed under the name Micavibrio sp. TMED27. RNAcentral describes it as "bacterial LSU rRNA". It matches the Rfam family "Bacterial large subunit ribosomal RNA", at positions 1926 to 2925 of the family's 2925-position model. Lineage: Bacteria; Pseudomonadati; Bdellovibrionota; Bdellovibrionia; Bdellovibrionales; Pseudobdellovibrionaceae. RNAcentral also lists the same sequence under 1 other name. The record is from RNAcentral.